This is a non-coding RNA of Triangularia verruculosa, 85 nucleotides long. The record is from the annotation of a GenBank genome assembly. Lineage: Eukaryota; Fungi; Ascomycota; Sordariomycetes; Sordariales; Podosporaceae.
GGCCGAUUGGCGCAAUGGUAGCGCGUGGUCCUCCUAACAAGGGGAUUCAAGACUGAGGUUGUGGGUUCGAGUCCCAUGUCGGUCG